UACACUACAAUUUCCCAGGGUGCUAUCCUGC
Molecule: non-coding RNA, 31 nt
Filed under: Rattus norvegicus (Norway rat)
Lineage: Eukaryota; Metazoa; Chordata; Mammalia; Rodentia; Muridae
Source: RNAcentral